GUUUUAAUAGUUUAACAAAAAACAUUGGUCUUGUAAACCAAAAUCAAGAAAUUUUCUUUUAAAACU
RNAcentral lists this transfer RNA (66 nucleotides) under Rhaphidophora quadrispina. RNAcentral's name for it is "tRNA-Thr". It matches the Rfam family "tRNA". Rfam says of the family: Transfer RNA (tRNA) molecules are approximately 80 nucleotides in length. Their secondary structure includes four short double-helical elements and three loops (D, anti-codon, and T loops). Lineage: Eukaryota; Metazoa; Arthropoda; Insecta; Orthoptera; Rhaphidophoridae. The record is from RNAcentral.